GUCCGCAACGAGCGCAACCCUACUUGUUAGUUGCCAUCAUUCAGUUGGGCGACUCUAGCGAGACUGCCGGUAAUAAACCGGAGGAAGGUGGGGAUGACGUCAAAUCAUCAUGCCCCUUAUGACCUGGGCUACACACGUGCUACAAUGGUUGGUACAACGAGUUGCGAGUCGGUGACGGCGAGCUAAUCUCUUAAAGCCAAUCUCAGUUCGGAUUGUAGGCUGCAACUCGCCUACAUGAAGUCGGAAUCGCUAGUAAUCGCGGAUCAGCACGCCGCGGUGAAUACGUUCCCGGGCCUU
This 297-nucleotide ribosomal RNA is filed under the name uncultured Streptococcus sp. RNAcentral's name for it is "partial 16S ribosomal RNA". It matches the Rfam family "Bacterial small subunit ribosomal RNA", at positions 1085 to 1382 of the family's 1533-position model. The record is from RNAcentral. Lineage: Bacteria; Bacillati; Bacillota; Bacilli; Lactobacillales; Streptococcaceae.